AUUGAACGCUGGCGGCAUGCUUUACACAUGCAAGUCGAACGGUAACAGGCCUUCGGGUGCUGACGAGUGGCGAACGGGUGAGUAAUGCAUCGGAACGUGCCCAGAGGUGGGGGAUAACGCAGCGAAAGCUGUGCUAAUACCGCAUAUUAUCUGAGGAUGAAAGCGGGGGACUAAGCAGCAAUGUUUGGCCUCGCGCCUUUGGAGCGGCCGAUGUCAGAUUAGGUAGUUGGUGGGGUAAAGGCCUACCAAGCCGACGAUCUGUAGCUGGUCUGAGAGGACGACCAGCCACACUGGGACUGAGACACGGCCCAGACUCCUACGGGAGGCAGCAGUGGGGAAUUUUGGACAAUGGGCGCAAGCCUGAUCCAGCAAUGCCGCGUGCAGGAAGAAGGCCUUCGGGUUGUAACUGCUUUGUACGGAACGAAAAGGACUCUGGUUAAUACCUGGGCGUCAUGACGGUACCGUAAGGAAUAAGCACCGGC
This 482-nucleotide ribosomal RNA is filed under the name uncultured bacterium. RNAcentral's name for it is "bacterial SSU rRNA". It matches the Rfam family "Bacterial small subunit ribosomal RNA", at positions 30 to 497 of the family's 1533-position model. The record is from RNAcentral.